RNAcentral lists this long non-coding RNA (721 nucleotides) under Homo sapiens (human). RNAcentral describes it as "HSALNT0301297". Lineage: Eukaryota; Metazoa; Chordata; Mammalia; Primates; Hominidae. The record is from RNAcentral.
CUAUUUAAACAUAAAUAUUGACAUUUGUAUGGUGCCUCUCACCUCAGAUUCAUUCAUUCAAUAGAUAUUUAAUAGAUGUAGCAGGCAUUGUUGUAGGAACCAGGGAUACAGCAGUGAGGGAAUAAGCUGAAGUUCUUUUUUUUAAUUAAAAAAAUUUUUUUAGAGACAGGGUUUUGCUGUUGCCCAGCAUUCUGGUAGCCAAAGACAAUAGGGAAAUCAACAAGUACACAAGUAAUACUAUUAAUGGCAAUAAGUGCUGUAGGAAAACAUAAAGAAGAGUAAGGAGAAUAGAGUUGGGGGCAGGGGCAUGGAGUUUAAGAACUGCUAUUUGGCUGGGCUAAAGUUAAAGUGACUUUCUAAGGGACAGAACAAGGACUAGAAAUCAUGUUCCUUGGCUUCCAGUCUUGUGUUUUCUUAUAAAUCCUCUAAAGGAAAUAUAAGAAACCUUAUCCUCUUGAACAUCUGAAGCUCUUUUUUGCCAAUGCAAGGUAAGGAAGGAUUUCGGCACCUGGAAGGUACUCAGUAGCUGGAGUCCGGUUAUGGGAAGAUAAAUAUCAAGAAUGAUUAGAAGGAAAAAAAGUAUUAUAGGUACUAAGGAGAAGGACGGUCUUAAUUUAAAAAAUUGAAUUGUAUUGUAUGGAGAGCUGAUUUUUUUCCUCCUCAUCUUCUUUGUGAUGGCACAGAGAGCUGAAUUUUCUUUAAAACAGUUUUAUUACUUUUU